Chiloscyllium plagiosum (whitespotted bambooshark) is the source of this 1385-nucleotide non-coding RNA. NCBI's taxonomy places the organism in Eukaryota, Metazoa, Chordata, Chondrichthyes, Orectolobiformes, Hemiscylliidae. The record is from RefSeq and is a predicted model, not a curated record.
ACACUGUGACUGCAACUGUUCCACAAAUCUAAAAGCAACAGAGGCAUCACCCAGGUGUAUGUGCUCCUUUGUGUUCACUGCGCUUCAAAACUGCCACAAUAUCGAGAGAUCCUGUGAAAGAAGCCAUGAAAAAUAAUCAUCGGCUUUUACUGGAGGAAUUGGUCUCGAGUAUUGAUCAUAGUCAGCUUUGUGAAGGGGAAAUUGUUACAGGCGAUGUUAAAAGUGUAAGCUGCGGACCACAGUCUAUAGACAACCCAAUAUCACAAGGAUGCACAGGGGCAUGAACUGAUUUCCUCUCACCUUAAACGGCAGUUGAUAUGAAGACAUAAUAUCACCAAGUGUACUCAGUACAGAACAGCCAUCAACCCCAGCAGUUCACCAUUUUCCAACCAGUGAAUGGAUAAUCACCCUCAGUUAUCAGGCAUCUACAUUUGUCAUGAGAAUAAUAUUCUCUGGAGAUGGAACAUCACCUCAGGAAUGGCCAGAUACCAAAUUAACUGUACAAAAAAAGCUGCUUGAAGAUCGUUACAGUGAUUUAAAGGUGAAAAAAUCAGAAACUGCUGGAAAAAUGUACCAGGCCUUGCAGCGUCUGGGGAGAGAAAACAGAGUUAAUAUUUUGCAUCCAGUGACUUUUCUUCUGAACCCAUGUAAUAUAUGCUUAUAGGUCAUAUAUGUACUGUGUAUGCAGAUAAAAGUGAAACUGACUGGAACUAACCAGUUUUGUUAAUGAAUUGUAAUUGCCUUUGUUGAAAACUGAGAGGUACAAAUGGUAGUGCAUGCAUUUUUCUUAAUGAAAAGGGGGAAUAAUUGGAGGAAUGCACUUUUAUACCGUUUGCUAGCUGGCUUGCCGUAGCCAUUUGAGCUGUAGCUCUGCUGUAAAUUGUUUUUUAUUUAACUUUGCGGGAGCCACUAAAAAUAUUAAUUUGUGCUUACUCCUCAUCAGCAUUUGAAAAUCAUACUAAAUAGAUCAACCUCUCAAAAUCAACAAUUUUUUUUGACAAAACUAUCAACGGCUCAAUUUUUUCUCUGUGGCAUUUGGAAUUAUGCCACAAUGAAGACAUGUCUGAUAGUCUUUCAGUAUUACCAUUGCAAGAUGAAAUAAUCAGAGUUUUGUUUAUGGGGAGGGCCUGUGGACCAUUUAUUACCUACUAUUUAUUAUUUCUGUGUCUUUAAGUAGGAAGGGUAUUUCCCAGUAGUGAUAAGGGCAAUCAGAAAGCACUUAAGAGUAAUUUGUAUUACAAUAACUCUCAUCAUUACUUUAUUCACAUCUAAUUUCCAGAUCUGUCCAACAGAUAAUGGAAGACAUCCAAACAGUGCCAGCAAUUUUAAAGCAAAUGCAAUUCUUUGCAUUGCCAUUAACACUAGUGAGAAAAUAUGCAGGAAAG